AACGAACGCUGGCGGCAGGCCUAACACAUGCAAGUCGAACGCCCUAGCAAUAGGGAGUGGCAGACGGGUGAGUAACACGUGGGAACGUGCCCUUCGGUUCGGAAUAACUCAGGGAAACUUGAGCUAAUACCGGAUAAGUGCGAGAGCAGAAAGAUUUAUCGCCGAAGGAUCGGCCCGCGUCCGAUUAGCUAGUUGGUGAGGUAAUGGCUCACCAAGGCGACGAUCGGUAGCUGGUCUGAGAGGAUGACCAGCCACACUGGGACUGAGACACGGCCCAGACUCCUACGGGGGGCAGCAGUGGGGAAUAUUGGACAAUGGGCGCAAGCCUGAUCCAGCCAUGCCGCGUGAGUGAUGAAGGCCCUAGGGUUGUAAAGCUCUUUCGCCAGGGAAGAUAAUGACGGUACCUGGAUAAGAAGCCCCGGCUAACUUCGUGCCAGCCGCCGCAGUAA
Molecule: ribosomal RNA, 449 nt
Filed under: uncultured bacterium
Lineage: Bacteria
Description: partial 16S ribosomal RNA
Rfam family: Bacterial small subunit ribosomal RNA
Source: RNAcentral